GCAAGUCGAGUGGCAGCAUGUCCCGCAACAAUGCGGGAUGAUGGCAACCGGGCAACGGGUGCGGAACACCUGCACUAUCUCUUCCUUUUAAUGUACAAUAACCCAGGGAAACUUGCAUUAAUAAUCCGUAACGUAUAAAACUGGCAUCACUUUAAUGUAUAGUGCCUCCGGCGCUAGAAGAUGGGUGUGCGGCUGAUUACAUCCUUGGCGGGGAAACGGCCCACCACUUCUGCGAUCAGUAAUUGGUGUGAGAUCAGGACCAGUCACACAGGCACUGAGACACGGGCCCGACUCCAACUGGAGGCAGCAGUAAGGAAUAUUGGUCAAUGGACGCAAGUCUGAACCAACCUUGCCGCAUGAAGGAUGAAGGUCCACUGGAUUGUAAACUUAUCUCAUUUGGGAUCGAAAAAAGCUCAUUCUUGAGCACUUGACGGUACCAGAGGAAUAAGCACCGGCUAAUUCCGUGCCAGCAGCCGCGGUAAUACGGAGGGUGCAAGCGUUAUCCCGAUUCGCUGGGUUUAAAGGGAGCGUAGGCGGGCAGAUAAAGUCAAUGGUGAAAUCCCCGAGUUUAACUUGGGAAGUGUCAUUGAUACCAUCUGUCUUGAAUAUCAGGGAGGUAAGCAGAAUAUGUCAUGUAGCGGUGAAAUGUUUAGAUAUGACAUAGAACACCCAUUGAGAAGGCAGAUUAGUACAGGAUUAUUGACGGUGAGGCUAGAAAGCGUGGGGAUCACACAGGAUGAGAUCCCGUGGUUGUUCACCCCAUAAAAUAAGGAUACUGGACAUCAGCGAUACAGGGUUGGUGUCUGAGCGAAAGCAUUAAGUACCCACCUGGGAAGU
This 837-nucleotide ribosomal RNA is filed under the name uncultured bacterium. RNAcentral's name for it is "bacterial SSU rRNA". It matches the Rfam family "Bacterial small subunit ribosomal RNA", at positions 57 to 881 of the family's 1533-position model. The record is from RNAcentral.